RNAcentral lists this unclassified non-coding RNA (24 nucleotides) under Arabidopsis thaliana (thale cress). The record is from RNAcentral. Lineage: Eukaryota; Viridiplantae; Streptophyta; Magnoliopsida; Brassicales; Brassicaceae.
ACAAAUGCUAAUCGAAACAAGUAA